This 66-nucleotide transfer RNA is filed under the name Orectochilus villosus. Its description in RNAcentral is "tRNA-Pro". Lineage: Eukaryota; Metazoa; Arthropoda; Insecta; Coleoptera; Gyrinidae. The record is from RNAcentral.
CAGAGAAUAGUUUAAUUAAAAUAUUAAUUUUGGAGAUUAAUGAUAAGUGUUUAUAUUUUUCUCUGA